RNAcentral lists this ribosomal RNA (772 nucleotides) under uncultured bacterium. RNAcentral's name for it is "bacterial SSU rRNA". It matches the Rfam family "Bacterial small subunit ribosomal RNA", at positions 8 to 796 of the family's 1533-position model. The record is from RNAcentral.
AGAGUUUGAUCAUGGCUCAGAGCGAACGCUGGCGGCAGGCCUAAUACAUGCAAGUCGAGCGAGAACCAGGACUUCGGUCCUGGGGAGAGCGGCGAACGGGUGCGUAUCACGUGAGCAACCUGCCUCGGAGACCGGAAUAACUCGAGGAAACUCGGGCUAAUGCCGGAUGCCCUCGGUGGACCGCAUGGUCCGGCGAGGAAAUGGAUUCCGCUCCGAGAUGGGCUCGCGGCCUAUCAGCUUGUUGGUGGGGUAACGGCCUACCAAGGCAACGACGGGUAGCUGGUCUGAGAGGACGAUCAGCCACACUGGGACUGAGACACGGCCCAGACUCCUACGGGAGGCAGCAGUAGGGAAUCUUGCGCAAUGGGGGAAACCCUGACGCAGCGACGCCGCGUGCGGGAUGAAGGCCUUCGGGUCGUAAACCGCUUUCAGCAGGGACGAAAUUGACGGUACCUGCAGAAGAAGGCCCGGCCAACUACGUGCCAGCAGCCGCGGUGAUACGUAGGGGUCUAGCGUUGUCCGGAAUUAUUGGGCGUAAAGAGCUCGUAGGCGGUUCGGCAAGUCGGAUGUGAAAUCUCCACGCUUAACGUGGAGGGGCCAUUCGAAACUGCCGUGACUCGAGUCCGGUAGGGGAGUUCGGAAUUCCCGGUGUAGCGGUGAAAUGCGCAGAUAUCGGGAGGAACACCAGUGGCGAAGGCGGAACUCUGGGCCGGAACUGACGCUGAGGAGCGAAAGCGUGGGGAGCGAACAGGAUUAGAUACCCUAGUAGUCC